Molecule: long non-coding RNA, 2551 nt
Filed under: Capsicum annuum
Lineage: Eukaryota; Viridiplantae; Streptophyta; Magnoliopsida; Solanales; Solanaceae
Description: long non-coding RNA (CANN_LNC020460)
Source: RNAcentral
UAGAUUAUUAUAAAGAAAAUUAUUUGUUUUUACAGAAAGGAUUAAUGAGGGUCAACAAUUAAUUAGCAAUGCAAUAAUUCAAUGAGUAAUAUACAAUUAAAGCCACUGAGAGUUACAAAUGUGGAAGAUGAAGGAACUAUUUUCUAACACCCUCGUCAUCUUCAGUACUUGUUUUGCAGCAUAUCGUUGUUCCUUCAUAUCCUUGUGGACUGUUUAUUCAUCACUGGAAAGAACAAAAAACUCACCUUUAUAAACUUAGAUUCCUCCUGCUCAUUCCACCUAGGAGCAUAUAUUUUCAAGGUAGAAUAAUAGUAUAUCAACUUGCAUAGAUCUAUUAUGUAAUUCUUUUUAAUCCCGUUGUGUCGUUUGUAUGUGUUAUUAUAUAACAUGCAACUUGCUUUAUUACAGUACAGAGACUCCAAUUAACGACUUAUGUUCGUUCACUGUCAUCUCUUAAAUUUUGAAAGGCUGGGUUAUUAUUCGGUGCUAAUACUUUAUUUGUUCAGUUGAUAUUUUCCAGUUAUCUAUUAUGUUUACUUGUUGAAAGAGCCUCUCUACCUUUGAGGUAGAGGCAUGGUCUGCGUAUACUUUACCCGCCCCAGACCUCAUUUUGUGGGACUACACUGGAUAUGUUAUUUUUAUUGCUAUUAUGUUACUUGUUCUUUUCUAUUGGAGUGCUUCUUUCCAUUUCAACAAAAGAGAAUACAGAUGAUAUUCAAGUGAAAGUUUUAGAAAUCCAUAGGAACUUGACUUUGGAAUUCUCAACUAUUAGUAUGAAAUAUGUUACUCAAGUGAAACAUAUGGAUACUAUACUAAAUGUGAGUUUAAAUCUAUGAGCAGAAAUAAAGCCUUAAGUCUUCCCCCAUCUACCAAGCACGCCUUUGACGCUCUCCAUUGUUUCUGUUAAGCAUGAUAUAACAGUGCAUUACUUUCUUUCAUCAUUCCGCUAAAAUUAGAGUUAACUUUCACUCAUAGAAUAGUUAUUAUCUUAGGAAGUCACUUUCUUUGUUGAGAAAGAUUGAAAUCGAAGAAGCAUCUCUCUGAGAUGAUAACUAAUAGUUGAGUGACCACACGAGAAAUUAACCCCUCAAAUUAUGUUCUUUUGCGGGAUAUUAUGUCUUUUAAAAGCUCUCACAUCAAACAUACUGCACUUCACAUCAACCAUCCACUUCAAAGGAAGAGCUUGCUCCAAAGCCAAAGUUUUCACUUUUACAAUUCAAAACCACAGGAAUUGAGAGCUAAAUUGCUCAAACUUUUCAAAGUUACAGAAUUUUCUAGUCAAAUUAUAAUUGCAUUUGCUAACAAUUUUUUUUUAGUGCUUUGGAACCUUAUGAUGCUUAACCUUUGUCCUAUCUUUUCUUGUUCAGUUCAAAAGCCUUACAGAAGGCAAUAACUUGUACUCCCUCCAUUUCAAUUUGUUUGUCUUUCCUUUUUUAGUAUGUUGUAAAAAGAAUGUCUCUUUAUUUCUUUCGGCAACUUUUUAGUUCUAACUUUCUGCAUGACAUGCUUGACAUGUUUAAGACCACAAGAUUAACGCACAUUUUGUUACAUUCUACAUAUCUUUAGUUUAAGACCAUAAUAGACAAAAAUCUUCUUUCUUAAACUCUGCACCAAGUCAAAACAAUACAAAUAGUUUGAAACAAAGUGAGUACAUAGAGAAGGAUUUCACAGCUAGGAAAAAAAAGCAUCUUUUAAACAAAUGUGAACCAAUUCAAAAAUUAGAUCUUUGAAUAUCCUAUGUAGCUCGGACUAUUCAAAAAUGUCAAUAGAUGUACGUUGUAUCAUUCAAAAGUAGCAUACUUUUAUACUUUUGGAGGAUCUGACAAGGUGCAACAACAUUUUUGAAGAGUCCGAGCAACAUUUCAAUUUGUUUGUCCUACUUUUCUUUUCAGUUCGCUUAGAAAACAACACAUUUUUCCUUUUCUACAACUCUUCAAUUUCAAUUUUUCUCAACUACGCAAAAUCAAAAAGCACAUUUGGUACAUUCUAUCAAUCAAAUAAGUAUCUACUAUAUAAUUUCGUAAAAUCUGUAUCAAGUCAAAAUUAAACAAACAAAUUAAAAUGAAGCUUCGCAAUUACCUUUCAUAUUAAAGGAAGAGGAAUUAUUUUAGGGAGCAGGUGAGUAAGCCAUAUAAGGAUUCGAUCCACGUUCAUCGGACGGCAUAGAUCUCAUCGGUGCCGCUGAUUCUUCUACCAAUUCCUCGUUCCACCUCACCAAUUUCCUCAAUUUCUCCAAUUUACCACUCUCAUUGGUACUUUCAGGUUGUUCCGGAUCAGAUUUUGGAUCCGGCUUUUGAACCUGAUCCGAAUCCUAACCCGAAUUACUCUUCUGCUCCGCACCGUUUGGAUGAUCCAUCGCUGUUGAGUUUUCAACGGCGGCACGUGAAAUGGCGACGAUGUAUUUUUAGCAAAACUCUACUACUUUAACUCCCUGUUAGAAACACAACAUGCAAUUUGCAAUCAAAUAAUAGAUACAUAUGGAUUAACUUCUCACAGAUGCCGACUGCAGAAUAGUUCUAUUUGUAACUCCGAUUGCCAUGUUCAGAGGAAG